UACGUAGGGGGCUAGCGUUGUCCGGAAUCAUUGGGCGUAAAGAGCGUGUAGGCGGUCCGGUAAGUCCGCUGUGAAAGUCGGGGGCUCAACCCUCGAAUGCCGGUGGAUACUGUCGGGCUAGAGUGCGGAAGAGGCGAGUGGAAUUCCUGGUGUAGCGGUGAAAUGCGUAGAUAUCUGGAGGAACACCGGUGGCGAAGGCGGCAUCCUGGACCGGUAUUGACGCUGAGGCGCGAAAGCUAGGGGAGCAAACGGG
RNAcentral lists this ribosomal RNA (253 nucleotides) under uncultured bacterium. RNAcentral's name for it is "partial 16S ribosomal RNA". It matches the Rfam family "Bacterial small subunit ribosomal RNA", at positions 524 to 776 of the family's 1533-position model. The record is from RNAcentral.